This 614-nucleotide long non-coding RNA is filed under the name Equus asinus (donkey). Its description in RNAcentral is "lncRNA (ENSEASG00005024678.1)". The record is from RNAcentral. Lineage: Eukaryota; Metazoa; Chordata; Mammalia; Perissodactyla; Equidae.
AUAGGAAAUCAGGGAGGAGGCAUUUGGAUACAAAGAGUGAUUCCUUUGACUCAAGAGAAAAACCCAUCACUGAAAGUGGCCGGAUAGGCUGGCUUUGAUAUUUGCCAUAUGAGCUGCUAUAAUCUGUGGCCACUCCAGCUUUCUCAUUCUCCUUCCAACACAUCAAGCUUUGUCACACCUCAGAGCCGGCGCACUUACUGCUUCAUCAGACUGGGAUGCUUUCUUCAAGAGCUGUCACCCCACGAGAAUGGGGCCAUCGUCUGCCGGGUGCUGCUGCCCCUCACAGAGGAGAUGCUCAGGAAAAGCUUAUUGAAUGGAUGAGUGGUUUUGUUUUUUGAUUGGUUUUUGCAGACAAGGGGCAUGGGAGACAGAAUUUGUUCCUUUAGCUUUGAAAUAUGUUUCAGCUUUGUCUUCUUCACUACAUGCUCGUUGGUUUGCACAGGAUUCUCAUAUUUAAGUGCAGAUCCCUGCAAGUGCACAAUGAGGGUAAUAAAGGCACCCAUCUCCUGGAGUUUUUAAGGGCACUAAAUGAGAAAUAUGCACAAGGUGCUUCUCACCGUGCCAGGCAGAAUGGAGCAGAGGAAUUUGGGCAUAGCUGCUCUCCUAGCAGCUUA